GACAGAGGGUGCAAACGUUGUUCGGAAUUACUGGGCGUAAAGCGCGUGUAGGCGGCUCUGCAAGUCGGGUGUGAAAUCCCACGGCUCAACCAUGGAAGUGCACUCGAAACUGCAGGGCUAGAGUCCUGGAGAGGAAGGUGGAAUGCUUGGUGUAGAGGUGAAAUUCGUAGAUAUCAAGCGGAACACCGGUGGCGAAGGCGGCCUUCUGGACAGUGACUGACGCUGAGACGCGAAAGCGUGGGGAGCAAACAGGAUUAGAAACCCCAGUAGUCC
This 273-nucleotide ribosomal RNA is filed under the name uncultured bacterium. RNAcentral describes it as "partial 16S ribosomal RNA". It matches the Rfam family "Bacterial small subunit ribosomal RNA", at positions 524 to 796 of the family's 1533-position model. The record is from RNAcentral.